RNAcentral lists this unclassified non-coding RNA (300 nucleotides) under uncultured Pleosporales. RNAcentral's name for it is "sequence contains ITS1". The stretch from base 1 to 105 matches the Rfam family "5.8S ribosomal RNA", at positions 50 to 154 of the family's 154-position model. The record is from RNAcentral. Lineage: Eukaryota; Fungi; Ascomycota; Dothideomycetes; Pleosporales.
GAAAUGCGAUAAGUAGUGUGAAUUGCAGAAUUCAGUGAAUCAUCGAAUCUUUGAACGCACAUUGCGCCCCUUGGUAUUCCAUGGGGCAUGCCUGUUCGAGCGUCAUUUGUACCCUCAAGCUUUGCUUGGUGUUGGGCGUCUUGUCCUCUUCUGGAGGACUCGCCUCAAAACAAUUGGCAGCCGGCAUAUUGGUAUCGGAGCGCAGCACAAGUCGCACUUUGUUCUAUGAAUGUUGGCAUCCAUCAAGACCAUUUUUUCACUCUUGACCUCGGAUCAAGCAAGAUCACCCACUGAACUUAA